This 250-nucleotide ribosomal RNA is filed under the name uncultured bacterium. Its description in RNAcentral is "partial 16S ribosomal RNA". It matches the Rfam family "Bacterial small subunit ribosomal RNA", at positions 524 to 773 of the family's 1533-position model. The record is from RNAcentral.
UACGUAGGGGGCGAGCGUUGUCCGGAAUUACUGGGCGUAAAGGGUGCGUAGGCGGCCUGUCAAGUCAAUUGUGUAAUCCCUGGGCUUAACCCAGGAACUGCAGUUGAAACUGAUAGGCUUGAGUGCAGGAGAGGAAAGUGGAAUUCCUAGUGUAGCGGUGAAAUGCGUAGAUAUUAGGAGGAACACCAGUGGCGAAGGCGACUUUCUGGACUGUAACUGACGUUGAGGCACGAAAGCGUGGGGAGCAAAC